This 441-nucleotide ribosomal RNA is filed under the name bacterium. RNAcentral's name for it is "bacterial SSU rRNA". It matches the Rfam family "Bacterial small subunit ribosomal RNA", at positions 1 to 356 of the family's 1533-position model. The record is from RNAcentral.
UUAACAGAGAGUUUGAUCCUGGCUCAGGAUGAACGCUGGCGGCGUGGUUAAGGCAUGCAAGUCGCGCGGAUGUAGCGACCGCAAGGUUGCUGCAUGAGCGGCGAACGAGUUAGUAACACAUUGGUACUCACCCCGAAGAGGGAGAUAACCAGCCGAAAGGUUGGCUAAUACCCCAUAGUCCCCGGCUAAAUUUUUGAAGAAAAGCUGCAUAAGAACUUAUUGAGAACAACAGAUCAUUUUUUCUCAAGAUUAUAGCAAGAUGUUUGUCUUCAAAAAUUUAGUCUGGGUAAAGCAGCAAUGCGCUUCGGGAGAGGCCUAUGUCCUAUCAGCUAGUUGGUGAGGUAACGGCUCACCAAGGCUAUGACGGGUAGGGGGUGUGAGAGCACGGCCCCCAACGACGACACUGAGAUACGGGUCGUACUCCUACGGGAGGCUGCAGUC